GGUUAAGUUAGUAAGGGCGCACGGUGAAUGCCUUGGCACUAGGAGCCGAUGAA
RNAcentral lists this ribosomal RNA (53 nucleotides) under Schinkia azotoformans. RNAcentral's name for it is "Bacillus azotoformans partial 23S ribosomal RNA". Lineage: Bacteria; Bacillati; Bacillota; Bacilli; Caryophanales; Bacillaceae. The record is from RNAcentral.